UUGAGAGUUUGAUCCUGGCUCAGGAUGAACGCUGGCGGCGUGCCUUAGGCAUGCAAAUGGAACGAGCUGAGACCGCAAGGUCGAAGCGAGUCGUGGACGGGUGAGUAACACGUAGGAAUCUACCUUACAAGUGGGGAAUACCUCGCCGAAAGGCGAGCUAAUACCGCAUAGUAUCCGGCUUUGCCGGAUUAAAGGGCUUAACUGCCCGCUUUGAGAUGAGCCUGCGUCCUAUCAGCUAGUUGGCGGGAUAAUAGCCCACCAAGGCGAUGACGGGUAGCUGGACUGAGAGGUCGGUCAGCCACAGCGCAACUGCGACACGGUGCGCACACCUACGGGUGGCAGCAACUAGGAAUAUUCGGCAAUGGGCGAAAGCCUGACCGAGCGACGCCGCGUGGAGGAAGAAGGUCUUCGGAUCGUAAACUCCUUUUGUCUCAACAUAUGUUGGGAAGAAUAACCAGCUGCUAACUACGUGCCAGAAGCCUCGGUAAUACGUAGGCUGGAAGCGUUAUCCGGAUUUAUUGGGCGUAAAGCGUUCGUAGGUGGUUUUCCAAGUCAUGGGUGAAAGCCUGCGGCUCAACCGUAGAAUUGCUUAUGAUACUGGGAGACUUUGAGGUCGUUAGGGGGUGCUGGAACUGUCGGUGGAGCAGUGAAAUGCGUUGAUAUCGACAGGAACACCAAGGGCGAAGGCAGGCACCUGGGACGAAUCUGACACUGAGGAACGAAAGCUAGGGGAGCGAAAGGGAUGGAGUUAAUCUCUGGUCCCCUCCGGUGGUAACGCCGGAGUAAAAAUUUGGCUAUAUGCUGGAACAUCUGGGAAUCUCGGGCUAGUUAUUGAUUUCGGGUUAAGUUUGGAUAAUACUUUUACCAAUGCCCAUUUCAUUAACUGACAAUGUUUCGAGUGCAGAAAAUCAGCAGGAAACUCCGAUGUUGUUGUCGGAGGAUCCUCAGAGACUAUAUGCCAAAUGUCCUACUGAGAAAAAAAUAACUGAAGAGGAAGCCAUUUUGUUGGGAAUUUUAUAUACCGACGGCUGCCUUUCCAAAAAGAGCAAGAGUUGCUGGAGAUUUUACCUUAGCAACACUUCUUUUAAGAUCAUCCAAACAUUUAAGGAUUGUAUGAUCAAGAUCUUUGGAUUGGACAGUCGCCGCAUAAGAAUUCGUCAACAAAUUGUGAACGAUAAACCCUUUUAUAAGGCUGUUGUCGAUAGUGCGUAUUGUGGCACUUACUUGACUGCCAAAUAUGGAACUUUCAGAACAUUGGCUUUCAAGGGAACGGGGGGUGAAAAGAUAUACCCGUUUGCGAGAUUGCCGUUCACUUCUGAGAUGGACUUUCAUCUGAUCUCUCUCUUUUUGAAGGCUGCCUUUAGUUGUGAUGGUGGAGUUAACUUAUAUGCGGCUAAAUCCAAAUCUAACUAUAGAUUUUUGAUUCGCAAUGCAUACUUAGCUUGUCACCAUCCACAACUUCAGCUUGAUUAUCAGAAGCUUCUGGGCACCUUAGGUGUCAAAUCGAAGAUUCUGAUGAGAGAUAACAGAAUCCUUCUUCAGGGAGAAGAAGGAUUGCGAGGUUUUAGAGACAAGGUGGGUUUUCUCGACGGCGUGAAAUUUACUCAACAUUCUGUUUUUUGGCAGGGUUGGGAAAAGAACGAAGUGUUGAAACUUGCUUUGUCGUCCUAUGGUAAUCCAAAGAAGAUUCUUAGUUUUUCUCAGUUUUCAGGACAAUGAUAUAGUCCGGUCUCAUGGGCGAUCAUGAGAGUGUUGUAAAAAACAACACCUGUCUCUUUAAGAGAUGGUAACAAUUUGUAGAGACCCCUGUAGUCCUAGCCGUAAACGAUGCUCGCUAGAUGCUCGUCCCGCAGAGGAUAGAAGAUAAACUUAAAAGGCAAAGGUCAAAGGUCAAAAUUUAAAGUAGAAAAUCAGAACUUUUAACUUUUAAAUUUCACUUUUGAAUUCUAACUUUUGAGUUUUGAAUUCAUCUAUUUUGUGCGGGGUGAGUGUCGCAGCUAACGCGUUAAGCGAGCCGCCUGGGGAGUACGAGCGCAAGCUUAAAACUCAAAGGAAUUGACGGGGAGGCGCACAACCAGAGGAGCAUGUGGUUUAAUUCGAAACGAAGCGAAAGACCUUACCUGGGUUUGACAUGCUAGUAGUAGGUCCCGGAAACGGGUACCCAACCGUCAAGAUCGGUAGCUAGCACAGCUGCUGCAUGGCUGUCUUCAGCUCGUGCCGUGAAA
This 2225-nucleotide ribosomal RNA is filed under the name Microgenomates group bacterium GW2011_GWB1_44_8. RNAcentral describes it as "bacterial SSU rRNA". The stretch from base 5 to 779 matches the Rfam family "Bacterial small subunit ribosomal RNA", at positions 9 to 873 of the family's 1533-position model. The record is from RNAcentral.